This 77-nucleotide transfer RNA is filed under the name Candidatus Uhrbacteria bacterium. Its description in RNAcentral is "tRNA-Val". It matches the Rfam family "tRNA". From Rfam's summary of the family: Transfer RNA (tRNA) molecules are approximately 80 nucleotides in length. RNAcentral also lists the same sequence under 1 other name. The record is from RNAcentral. Lineage: Bacteria; Candidatus Uhriibacteriota.
GGGCGGUUAGCUCAGUUGGUUAGAGCGUUACAUUGACAUUGUAAAGGUCAGAGGUUCGACUCCUCUACCGCCCACCA